GGAGGCUUUGGGCUGCGCUCUGCCCCGGCCAGCCGUGAAAGGUCCUGUGUAGGAAUGUCGCAGGCUGAAGUCACCCCAGUGCGGGGGACACGGGCCCCUGGGCAGGAACUGCUCCAGGAAGGGGGGCUCUGGCACAGCCAGGCAGGCGCCAGGCUGGACAGAGCAGGAGGAAGGCACUGCGGCCAAGCACUGCCAGGGUCGGCCAAGUGUCUGCCCUCUCCCCACCUCCUCGGCCUGGUGCCUGGGGGUGGGUUGUGUCAUCACCCUUCCCUCCGUGGCCAUGGGCAGGAGCUGGGGCUGCCCCUAUGGGGCAGGUGCCCGGCUGAAGCAGAAACUGCGGUUUUGGGGCCGUGGGUCCCCCUGCCGCCCCCAUUGCCGGGGACAUUGUGCUUUCCCGUCCACUCCCCCCGCUGCUGGGCUGCCUGCCCUCCACGCAGGAGACGAGGGAUUUCACAACCCAGCCCAGACAGGAUUAAAGAGAAAUACACAAGUAAACAAAUCGCGGCCUCCUAACGCUGGACGCGCCGUUCGGGGAGCGGAUCCUGCGGGCCGGUGGGUGAGGCGCGGGCCCCGUGGGUACCGUGGGUACCGGGGUGCGGGAGCGAUGCCCGCGGGGGCCGGCACCGCACGGGACAGCGCCCGGUCCCGCCGGGAGAGCCGCUCCAGAGCAGCACUGAGCAAUCUCAUUUUUCACACGUCUCCUGUAGUCAAACUGCCCCUGUCAGAGGAAAGGAGUUGCUUCCUGUUAUUUCCAUUGAAAUCCUUGUCCCGCUCGUUAGCCGGCAGGCUUUGGCAGGAUGGCACCGCGCACGCACAUCAGCUCCGGCCGCCUCUCCCGGGGGCUCCUGCUGCUCUCCGUGCUCCUUGGGCCUGGCCUUUGUCACAUGGAAAACGUGACAACGAGCUCCAGCCAGGACACUGGGACAAACCCACCCACGCCCACCUCCAACGGGACAGCCCAGUCCAUGGAGCGGAAUUACACCGCCAUCACACAGCACUGCUGGGAUUACUUCGUCUACCUGAUGAGGAAUGUGCUGCCAUCGGAGCUGUGCGAGUGGAAAAUCAUCAGCAGGUACGGGCCAGCAGGACUGUGAGAGCCUGAAUGAGGGAUGUGGGAGUCCAGGUGGCUCUUCAAAAUGCAGUUUAUUCCAUCCAAGACCUUUCAGCAGUCCAGGGUCAUGAGUAACAGAGCCUGUGCCUACAGCUGUCAGCUCCAGCUGCAGGCAGGCCUGGAGACCCUUUGGUUUAGGUUACAAUGCAUUAUAUACUUUUCUUUUGGUUACAAUACAUUAUAUACUUUUCUUUUAGCUACGAUGCAUUAUAUACUUUUCUUUGCUGAGCAUCUUCAUACAGUAGAACCAAUCUGUACCUUAACUUUUACCUAUAGCCUAUCAUAACUACUGUAAUUACCAUAUUCAUGUUACUGUUCUCCAAUCACUCAAAGUCAGUACAUUACAGUGUAAGCUGGAAGUUGUUUUCCAGUUUUCUUGCAGUAGAAAAUUCUGAGACCUUUUUUCUACUUGCAACAUCAGCAGGCUUGUUUGCCUGUGCUAUUGUUUCUGCUUGGUAAAAACAUCUUCUUGCUCUAAGUCCUAAAAACCCCUUCUAACUGACAUAAACCUUACCUUCUUAGUUAUCCUGUAAGACUGGCUCAGCAAUUCUUUUCUUCUAUACCAAAACUUGCUUUAAUUUCUAUUCCUUCAUCAGACUCUACAUUUAAAAAUCUUU
Junco hyemalis (dark-eyed junco) is the source of this 1728-nucleotide long non-coding RNA. The record is from Ensembl. NCBI's taxonomy places the organism in Eukaryota, Metazoa, Chordata, Aves, Passeriformes, Passerellidae.